GAUCUGUGUUACAGGUAAAUAUGCUUUAAUAUCUUUUCAUAUAAUCUAAAUUUAAUUACAAAUGUUUUGCUUAUUAUAGAUCGACAAAGAUUUUACUAUCAAGGAUACAACGAAGCUCGCUUUUUAGCAUUGUUAAGAAUGUUGACGCUGUUGUUGUAUCCUGGUACAAAUUUUGUAAUAAUGCUCACUACUUAGCUGUGCUAAGAUAGUUGAUGCGGCUAAAAAUGUGUGUGCUUAGUCGAUCUGUAUUACGGGUUAAUAUGUUUUAAUAUCUUUUCAUAUAAUUCAAAUUUAAUUACAAAUGUUUUGCUUAUUAUAGAUCGACAAAGAUUUUACUAUCAAGGUUACAACGAAGCUCGCUUAUUAGCUUUGUUAAGAAAGUUGACGCUAUUUUUAUAUCCUGGCACAAAAUUAGUAGCAAUGCUCACUAUCUAGCUAUGCUAAGAUAGUUGAUGCAGUUAAAAAUAUGUGUGCUUGACGGAUCUGUAAUACGGGUAAAUAUAAAUUAAUAAUAUUUCAUAUAAUCCAAAUUUAAUUACACAAACAUAGCUUAUUAUAGGUCGAUAAAAAACUUUGCCAUCAAGGACACACCAAAGCUCGCUUCUUAGCAUUGUUAAGAAAGUUGACGCUAUUGUUGUAUCCUGGCACGAAUUAAGUAGCAAUGCUCGCUACUUAGCUAUGCUAAGAUAGUUGAUGCAGUUAAAAAUAUGUUUGCUUGAUCGAUCUGUAUUACGGGUCGAAAAAUGCUGUGCUAUCAAGGAUAUAACAGAGCUCGCUUCUCUACUUUGUUGGGAUAGUUUACACUGGUGUAUCUUUGUAUGAAAUUAGUAGAAUAGCUCACAGCUUAACUAUGUCAAUUAAAACAUGCCAUGACAGUACAAGUGAACGUAGUUCAAUUUCAAUUGUAAUUAUUCCUAAUUUAUAUUUGCAAUUAUUUAUAUCUCAUAGAUUAUAUAUAGUUCAGACGAGACGGCAUGUCAUCUAUUCUUUUUCUUUGUACCCAACAAAAACAAAAUUAGUUAUUGAGGAUACAAGCUUAAUUAUUGGCUUUGUUAAGACAGUAUAUGCUGAUGUUGUAUCCUGGAACAAUUUGAAAAGUUUUAGGUAUAAGUAGCGCGUACCAAAAUUGACGAAAUUUAAGCGGACGGGUGUCUUGCACAAAAUAGCCAUUUACUUAUGUGUUGUGUAGUGAGGUGCUGAUGUAGCUUGAGCAAUAGCCAAAAAUGUUUGCCUUUAAGUCACAACUAGUGUACCAAGUAAUUCUUGUGGGGUUGGCACAUUGAGAUGGAUCAAAAGGACGGGCGUCCUAUACAAUAUGGACUAUCGCUCGGCAUGAUAUAGUGUGGUGUUCAAUAAGUAUAGUUAGUAGUUAGUUAGUUCAAUAAGUAGUGCAAUGAACGUUUCUGUUCAGUUCACAGAUCAGGUAACAUUCGAGCAAACGGGGGUUCUACACAAUUAAGCCGUUAAAACUGGGAAGGACCUGACUUGUACAAAUCGCACUUCAUCAACUAUGCUAAUACACUGUGUAUCCUACUUUGUUGCCUUCUAUCUUUAUCUUACCUGCUAAUUCGAUUAUUGCAUCAACUAUUUUUUGUUGCAGAUUUGUACUUUUGGUUGCAAUUCAAGUUGGUUUUACAUCUAUUAUUCAAAAUUUAUUCUAAUGGGAGACACCGUUUUCGUCAAAUGCAAAAACGCCGAGAACUAUUUCAGAAAGGUGAUAGAAGGCUAGGCGAUUCGACGCAUUAAGGAAUUUAUAUUUAUGCUACAUGACUGUUCGAG
Wyeomyia smithii (pitcher-plant mosquito) is the source of this 1779-nucleotide long non-coding RNA. RefSeq lists it as uncharacterized. The transcript is spliced from 3 exons. The record is from RefSeq and is a predicted model, not a curated record. Lineage: Eukaryota; Metazoa; Arthropoda; Insecta; Diptera; Culicidae.